UACGUAGGGUGCAAGCGUUGUCCGGAUUUAUUGGGUUUAAAGGGUGCGUAGGCGGUCUUUUAAGUCAGUGGUGAAAUCCUCCAGCUUAACUGGAGAACUGCCAUUGAUACUGGGAGACUUGAGUACAGACGAGGUAGGCGGAAUUGACAGUGUAGCGGUGAAAUGCAUAGAUACAAUCAAGAACACCGAUUGCGUAGGCAGCUAACUAGGCUGUAACUGACGCUGAGGCACGAAAGCGUGGGGAGCGAACAGG
Molecule: ribosomal RNA, 253 nt
Filed under: uncultured bacterium
Lineage: Bacteria
Description: partial 16S ribosomal RNA
Rfam family: Bacterial small subunit ribosomal RNA
Source: RNAcentral